GGUUUGAAGCGUAACAUUAUGGGUGGAUUCAAUGAACUAAAGAAUGCAGUCGGAGGGGAGAAAAUUCAGCAUCCGAGAGUGUUGAGUUGCAUUUCAGUGCAUUCCUGGACCUUGAAUCUGAUCGUACAAGGCUGCAAUUGAACCAUGCAAAUAUUUAAUCAGUCCCAGAACUGUCAGAGAAAAGAAUUUACAGGCGAGGUUCUUAUUUUAUUGCCUACAUUGAUUUAAUAGCAGUCAGGAAACCAAGAGGAAUACAAUAAUCCAGUGUCCUUUAGACUGGUGCAAUUUGGAAUUCUCGUUGCAUCAAUAAAAUACUGGUCUGCAGGUGAGGAAAUCA
Lacerta agilis (Sand lizard) is the source of this 337-nucleotide long non-coding RNA. RefSeq lists it as uncharacterized. The record is from RefSeq and is a predicted model, not a curated record. The transcript is spliced from 2 exons. NCBI's taxonomy places the organism in Eukaryota, Metazoa, Chordata, Lepidosauria, Squamata, Lacertidae.